AAGCUGACUCCAGAUAUGAGGACUCAAUCUCCCAUGGAGCAUUUCUUUUUCCUACAACCGCACAUACACCAGGCUGUACAUUUCCUUUUUAUUUUUUGGUCAAGGAUUAUAAUUCAAAGUAUCAAAAUGUAGGCCUGGGUACAAGAUGUGUCAGAGCAAAAGGAUUCUUCUGUUCCUGUGUAAGUGUAAAUGCUCUAUAAAUACUCUAUAAAUUCAUAUUAACG
This is a long non-coding RNA of Anguilla rostrata (American eel), 224 nucleotides long. RefSeq lists it as uncharacterized. NCBI's taxonomy places the organism in Eukaryota, Metazoa, Chordata, Actinopteri, Anguilliformes, Anguillidae. The transcript has 2 exons. The record is from RefSeq and is a predicted model, not a curated record.